GCACUGCUGAGGAGUCUCAAAAUAGGACGACACGGCCGUCCAGUGC
Schistosoma mansoni is the source of this 46-nucleotide non-coding RNA. The record is from Rfam. NCBI's taxonomy places the organism in Eukaryota, Metazoa, Platyhelminthes, Trematoda, Strigeidida, Schistosomatidae.